CCAAAAUAAAAUCUUAAGUGGAUCACUGAAAAACAGAAGCUAGUCAACCGUUCGGAGAAACCCAAAACGCAUUUGACAUUGAACUUCUACACAUAACUAGACGACGAAAUAAAGCCGCUAUUAAAAUUUCAAAAUGAAUUUAGCGCAAUCUAUACCCAGAAUAAUCCGAUCAAACCCCCACAACAAAAACCCAGAAAAAAAAAAAUAGCACGUAAUUGCAAAAGAAGAUGCCCAGAAAUCGAGCAUAAGCGCAAAAUAUCACUCAAACACAUAAAUACCAGUUGAACCGUCCUGCGUUGAGAAAAGAAAUACUUGCCUUGUUGAUUAAGAGAAAGGUCACAGAUUUCCCCCGGCGGCGGUCGGCGGGGGACGGCGGAGAUCGGUGGUGGGUGGGGGUGGUUUGGAGGAAGAAAAAAAAAGAAAUGGAGAAACGAGCAGAACCCAAAGACUGAUUUUCCUCUUGUCUAUUUGAAUAUUUUAUUUUACAAUAUUGUUCUCUCUCUCUCUCUCAAUUAUUAUCUUUUACCCUUUUUCUUUUCCUCCUGGAUAUUUUUGUUGCAGCUUAAUUAAUAGCUUUGGCUGGAUUUCAGAUUUUUAUUUU
RNAcentral lists this long non-coding RNA (601 nucleotides) under Salvia miltiorrhiza (redroot sage). Its description in RNAcentral is "long non-coding RNA (SMIL_LNC013910)". Lineage: Eukaryota; Viridiplantae; Streptophyta; Magnoliopsida; Lamiales; Lamiaceae. The record is from RNAcentral.